UACGUAGGGGGCAAGCGUUGUCCGGAAUCAUUGGGCGUAAAGCGCGUGUAGGCGGCUUGGUAAGUCCGUUCUGAAAGCCCGGGGCUCAACCCCGGGAGGCGGAUGGAUACUGUCAAGCUUGAGUCCGGAAGAGGCGAGUGGAAUUCCCGGUGUAGCGGUGAAAUGCGCAGAUAUCGGGAGGAACACCAGUGGCGAAGGCGACUACCUGGCCUGUUCUUGACGCUGAGGCGCGAAAGCUAGGGGAGCAAACGGG
RNAcentral lists this ribosomal RNA (253 nucleotides) under uncultured bacterium. RNAcentral describes it as "partial 16S ribosomal RNA". It matches the Rfam family "Bacterial small subunit ribosomal RNA", at positions 524 to 776 of the family's 1533-position model. The record is from RNAcentral.